UACGUAGGGCGCAAGCGUUAUCCGGAAUUAUUGGGCGUAAAGAGCUCGUAGGCGGUUUGUCGCGUCUGCCGUGAAAGUCCCGGGCUUAACCCCGGAACUGCGGUAGGAACGGGCAGACUAGAGUGCAGUAGGGGAGGCUUGAAUUCCUGGUGUAGCGGUGAAAUGCGCAGAUAUCAGGAGGAACACCGAUGGCGAAGGCAGGUCUCUGGGCUGUAACUGACGCUGAGGUGCGAAAGCAUGGGGAGCGAACAGG
RNAcentral lists this ribosomal RNA (253 nucleotides) under uncultured bacterium. RNAcentral's name for it is "partial 16S ribosomal RNA". It matches the Rfam family "Bacterial small subunit ribosomal RNA", at positions 524 to 776 of the family's 1533-position model. The record is from RNAcentral.